AUGGCUCAGGAUGAACGCUGGCGGCGUGCCUAAUACGUGCAAGUCGAGCGGCAGCACGGUCUUCGGACUGGUGGCGAGCGGCGGACGGCUGAGUAACGCGUAGGAAUAUACCCCAAAGUGAGGGAUAACUGCCCGAAAGGGUGGCUAAUACCGCAUGUGGUCUUCGGACUAAAGCCUUCGGGCGCUUUGGGAAUAGCCUGCGUAAGAUUAGCUAGUUGGUGAGGUAAUGGCUCACCAAGGCGACGAUCUUUAGCUGGUCUGAGAGGAUGACCAGCCAGACUGGAACUGAGACACGGUCCAGACUCCUACGGGAGGCAGCAGUAGGGAAUUUUCCACAAUGGGCGAAAGCCUGAUGGAGCAACGCCGCGUGCAGGAUGAAGGCCCUCGGGUCGUAAACUGCUUUUAUGUGCGAAGAAUAUGACGGUAACACAUGAAUAAGGGUCGGCUAACUACGUG
RNAcentral lists this ribosomal RNA (456 nucleotides) under uncultured bacterium. RNAcentral describes it as "bacterial SSU rRNA". It matches the Rfam family "Bacterial small subunit ribosomal RNA", at positions 19 to 507 of the family's 1533-position model. The record is from RNAcentral.